GAGCUCACUUUGGCAGCACAUGUGCUAAAAUUGGAACGAUGUAGAGAUUAGCAUGGCCCCUGUGCAAGGAUGACAUGCACACUUGUAAAGUGUUCCAUAUAUAA
Molecule: small nuclear RNA, 104 nt
Filed under: Carlito syrichta (Philippine tarsier)
Lineage: Eukaryota; Metazoa; Chordata; Mammalia; Primates; Tarsiidae
Source: RNAcentral